Long non-coding RNA from Mobula hypostoma (lesser devil ray), 240 nucleotides. RefSeq lists it as uncharacterized. The record is from RefSeq and is a predicted model, not a curated record. The transcript has 3 exons. Lineage: Eukaryota; Metazoa; Chordata; Chondrichthyes; Myliobatiformes; Myliobatidae.
AGAGAGUUUUGUUCAUACAGUGGACUCAGUAAGAACUUCAAAACCAGUGAAAUCCAAAUCAAUUGAAAUGACUGUGUGAUAUGGGGAGGUUCUCGUUGGUUAUUGGCAUCGAGAGAAAGACACUGAGAUACAGCGCAGAUGCAGCUGCAAAGAAGGCACAAAGGCAUCUCUAUUUCAUGAGGAAUUUGAAGAGAUUUGCGUACAGCUGCCGCAGACUCAACACAUUUCAUGACAUAUGCC